This is a long non-coding RNA of Dermacentor andersoni, 1023 nucleotides long. RefSeq lists it as uncharacterized. The record is from RefSeq and is a predicted model, not a curated record. NCBI's taxonomy places the organism in Eukaryota, Metazoa, Arthropoda, Arachnida, Ixodida, Ixodidae.
GUACAACAAUUGCAACGGGCUUGGGCAGGCUGCCAGGACCCGACAUUCAUUGAGUAUGCCAGAAACGAAGGUAUUUUGGCCGUGGAAGGAACUGAUGUCGUACUGCACAGUCAUUUCUGAACGGUAACUUGGUAUAAAGGAUUCUGCGAUGAGCAGGGUGGUCAAGCUUCUUGGUGCAACACUGCUUCUUGCAGCCCUGGUCGGCAAUGUUCAGGCGCAGUUCAUUGGAGGAUUCUUUCCUUGGUGGUGGUCGAGAUGGUGCAACGGAAUAUGGUGCCCCUUUGGAACUCGCUGUGUACUUGCACUGUGCCUCCAAUUCCCCUGCGUGCCUGUUAGCUACUGUGCUCCAUUUUUCUAGGGAGCAAGAGGACGGAGUGGAUAACCCGUGGCAACCAACAACGCAAGCCACACUGCGAAUUUGCCCAACAGGACAUAAGAAUUUGAACGGAUCAUCAAGUAGAAAGCGCUUAACGCGACACCAUAGGUUGGGAUAUUAAGUGAAAUUCCCUAAGUAAGCUUUGCCUCUGCACUUGCAAAGCGGCUAUUCUUACCAUGUUUGAAGCUUGAUGAGCGAGGAAAGAUCCAAAACGAAAGAAUCGCGGCAACGCAACCCUGAAGAUCCAGCAUCAGUGCGCCGUGACCCCAUAGACCUUGACAAGCACUCGUGCCUAGUUUAUUGUCCGACGCAAAAGUAGGGCUACGUUGCCAUUAUAAAGGAACCAGACACACAACUUAGCCAGUUUUGAGAACUUUUGAUGUGCCAGUAGAAAGAAGAAAUGCGAGAAAAUAAUUUGACAUCCCUCACGUAAGGUUGUCAUUCUUUUGCGUUAAGGUAUCGGCGCGAAAUAAGAACAUAAGAGUUCUGCCUUGAGUUUAUUCCACGCCAGUAAAUGCUGUUGCUCUUAAUGACUGCCAAUGGAAUUCUGAAAGAGAAAUUUAAUGUUGCUUUUUGGUGUCUAUCUAUAUCGAAUUAGGCCAAGAACAAUGCUCUACGUGAAGACGAACUUAAUAAAAGAAAUAAUG